UAAGCGGAGGAGCCGGUCUUCGGACAGGCGAGCGCCCGCCAGAGUCUAACCAAACUCUUGUUUUAAACCAGUCGUCUGAGUAUAAAAUUUUAAUUAAAUUAAAACUUUCAACAACGGAUCUCUUGGUUCUCGCAUCGAUGAAGAACGCAGCGAAAUGCGAUAAGUAAUGUGAAUUGCAGAAUUCAGUGAAUCAUCGAAUCUUUGAACGCACAUUGCGCCCCUUGGUAUUCCGAGGGGCAUGCCUGUUCGAGCGUCAUUACACCACUCAAGCAUUGCUUGGUAUUGGGCAUCGUCCGCCGUAAAGGCGGGCGUGCCUCGAAGUCCUCGGCGGGGUUUCUCCCACUUCGGGCGUAGUAGAGUUAAAUACAAAACCGUCUUAUAAGCUUGGUGAGAUCUCAUCGCCGUUAAACCUUUUUAUAUUU
Molecule: ribosomal RNA, 422 nt
Filed under: Hormonema sp. CID585
Lineage: Eukaryota; Fungi; Ascomycota; Dothideomycetes; Dothideales; Dothioraceae
Description: eukaryotic LSU rRNA
Rfam family: 5.8S ribosomal RNA (bases 103-256)
Source: RNAcentral